UAGCAUAAUCAUUAGUUUUUUAAUUGAGAACUGGAAUGAAAGGUUAAAUAAAAAAUAAUCUUUAUUAAUUUUAAAAUAUUUGAAUUUGUUUUUUUAGUAAAAAAACUAAAAUAAAAUAAAAAGACGAUAAGACCCUAUAAAGCUUUAUAAUAUAGAUUUUAAUAAUUUAUUAGAAUAUUUAAAUUAAUUUUUUUGUUAUUAUUUGAUUGGGGUGAUUUAAAGAUUUAAUAAACUCUUUAAUAAAUAAAUUCAUUUCUAAAUGUUUUUUGAUCCUUAAAAUUUAAGAGUAAUAAAAUAAGUUACUUUAGGGAUAACAGCGUAAUUUUUUUAAAGAGUUCAAAUCGAUAAAAAAGAUUGCGACCUCGAUGUUGAAUUAAGAUAAAUUUUAGGUGUAGAAGUUUAAUUUUU
RNAcentral lists this ribosomal RNA (408 nucleotides) under Micropsectra roseiventris. RNAcentral describes it as "partial 16S ribosomal RNA". Lineage: Eukaryota; Metazoa; Arthropoda; Insecta; Diptera; Chironomidae. The record is from RNAcentral.